AACGAACGCUGGCGGCAUGCCUAACACAUGCAAGUCGAACGAGAUCUUCGGGUCUAGUGGCGCACGGGUGCGUAACGCGUGGGAAUCUGCCCUUUGGUUCGGAAUAACAGUUGGAAACGACUGCUAAUACCGGAUGAUGACGAAAGUCCAAAGAUUUAUCGCCAGAGGAUGAGCCCGCGUAGGAUUAGCUAGUUGGUGUGGUAAAGGCGCACCAAGGCGACGAUCCUUAGCUGGUCUGAGAGGAUGAUCAGCCACACUGGGACUGAGACACGGCCCAGACUCCUACGGGAGGCAGCAGUGGGGAAUAUUGGACAAUGGGCGAGAGCCUGAUCCAGCAAUGCCGCGUGAGUGAUGAAGGCCUUAGGGUUGUAAAGCUCUUUUACCCGGGAUGAUAAUGACAGUACCGGGAGAAUAAGCUCCGGCUAACUUCGUGCCAGCAGCCGCCGUAA
Molecule: ribosomal RNA, 449 nt
Filed under: uncultured bacterium
Lineage: Bacteria
Description: partial 16S ribosomal RNA
Rfam family: Bacterial small subunit ribosomal RNA
Source: RNAcentral